Long non-coding RNA from Homo sapiens (human), 2081 nucleotides. Lineage: Eukaryota; Metazoa; Chordata; Mammalia; Primates; Hominidae. The record is from Ensembl.
UUCGCGAGGCUGCACCCUCAGCAGGCACUGUGGCCACACAGCACUGGCCUGAGAUCUGAGUUCCUGGAGCCUCGGCCCUGAGGCCCAUGAGUCGGGGUCUCACUGUCUUACCUGGGCUGGUCUCAAUCUCCUGGGCUCAAGUGAUCCUCUCAACUCAGCCUCCCAAAGUGCUGAGAUUACAGGCCAUAGAACAAGCCAUUUUCAACAAAAGGACUUGCAAAUUCCUGCCUUAGGGCUCCUUCUGCACAGGACAGACCUUUCAUCACCAACCCAACUUGUAAUCUUGGGUAAAGAAGGUUCUCAGCUCAUUUUCAAGAAGAAAAAAAAAAUGGAAGGAGCUAGCAGCCCCAAAGUACUUCCACUGAAGCCUUUGGAAAAGAGGGAAGACUCCAAGUCUCUGGCACCUGCAGAAGAGGGGAAUCUUGAGAAGUAGCUGACGCUCCGAGUUUACAUGUCCCCUUGAAUACUCUUUAUUCCUGUCUUAUUUCAAAUCCUGGUGUCAUCAGGGUGAUGAAGGGCACUUCUUAGACACUCGACAACAUGGUGGAGGUGAAGAUCUGUUGUAAAAUCUGAGGGAUAUCCUUGGUAUCCAUGGCAACGAAAGACCGACCAGCUGGUAAAGUUCUCUGAAGCCUGCCAGGAUGGAAAGGGAAAGGAAGUUACCACUGUAAAUGGGGCUCCCUUCCACCUCCUGCCCUGGCAAACCACAGCCCCCUAAUGGUUUCUUAGGAAAGGAAGUUUUUACUUUCUAAUACCUUGCUCUCUGCCUACCAUUGAAUUAGUCGUCAUUAAACAAUGAAAGGCUUGGAAGAGCAACAAGGAAAGACACAGCAAAAGCAGGGAACUGAAAGAAAGGUCUUUUCAGUGAGAAAGUCAGUGAAUUUGAAAAGAAAAAAUUUUCUUCCUUUCUUUACUGCCAUUUCUUGGUAUUUCAUAUUCUUUUGGUAUAACAGAGCCAUAGGGAUUCAUAUGGAAUCAGCUCACCUCCCGGGUCUAGCAAAUAUGUUGACCUUACACUGUAUUUCGAAGUGCUUUUCCUUCCUUAGAAAACAGGCCUCUAAAAACGCUGCGCAGCCAAACCCUGAGUGGUUCUUUCUCUCUUUCUUUGCCUCUCUCUCUUUUUUUUGGUCCACAUCACACAAUGUGAAAUGCGAUCUGGAUUGUCCAAUUACUGCUUCAAUGACACUGAGGUUAUACAGGCUUAUGAAAUUUUUUCCAACUCAUUUUUAAGUGAAUUUUAAAAAACUUAUAAUGGGUUUUGAUUUGAAUUAUCCUUAAAAAUAACAUGUCAUUGAAGUUACGAUACUUUUUUAAAUACUAAUUUAUAAUUUGGAACAAAAGGCCAUUUUGAAGGCAACAAAACUGUAAGACACAGUUCUCUUCAAAAGAACGCCUCCUUUCACUGUGCCAGUGAAGUCUGGCUUUGGAAUGACAUUUAAUAAAAUUCAACCAUCCUGUGUAGUAUCGUAUAUUUGGCAUGCCUGGUAAGCCAGCUAAUUCUGCAACAUAUCUUUUGCCAGUGGAUGUUGGACCAUUUCCCUAGGAAACCACAAGGGUAUUAUUGUGCUUUCUUAAGUAUUCAAACAGGAUCUGUUCACUAGAAAGACAAAAUAGCCAUUUCAUCUCAACUAGUAUUUGUUGAGCUUGUUGUCUGCCUAAUACUGGGCUGAUGCUGAGGAAAACCUGGGUGGAAAAGGCAUAGUUUGUGUUUGAGGAUGUGGAGGUUCUAAAAGAUGCAAAGUGCUAACUUGUAAAAACUAAGAAGAAUGAAAAGUCAUGUCAUAAAAUGACUGUAACUACAUGAUAUUAAGUCUGUUCUCAACCUCGCUCUGCAACCUUACAGCAAGGCAAAGGGAAUAGAAAGAGAAAAAGCUGCUAGCAUUUUGGAUAUUAAAACAUUUCCAGUCACAGAGUAUGAAAAGUAAAAGGGGUGGAAUAACAAAAACGUAGGCCCUUUGUGCUUUAGGCAGGGAUUUUUUUUUUUUUUUUUAAGAUUACUUUCACUGGUGUUUUAUGUUUCUUACAGGUAUUUUAAACACAGAAAAACCAUGAGCUCUUUCUGUUUGUAAUUCAAAAAGAUA